GUUGUUAUCCGCGGGCCGUCAGUGUGUGUUCAAGUUAUUUCGUGGAAAGAUUGUUCGUUUCUCUCGCAAGAAGGUGUAUCUAUUUUUUCCAUUGAUUUUCACAUAAUAAUAUUCCUCUAUUUACACCAACAAUCCCUGGACAAUUAAUUGAAGAAAUCGCAGUUAAAGGGAGUAAUUAUAUGGCACAUUGUGAAAAUUCGCGGAGAGUUUUUGACCAGGACGUCGCGGUGCCCCACACAUACGGAUUUCCUGCAAUUUCCCGUGCAUUGUCUCCGUGAUCGAUGGAGCUGAGCAUUCUCAAUUGAUUGGGGGUCCCUGGUAGAGUUGAGACAAGUGAAAUACUACUAUUUACUUUCUUUCUUGCCAUCUUUUAUUCGUCUCCCACAUCCCCAACAAAGUGCUUCGCUUUAGAAUAAUUUAUUUUGUGUGACGAAAGGAAAACAUACAGUGUGUGUGAAAAAAGUGUUUUGGUGUUUUUCUCCGCAAUAUCACGAUUGAAUGGAUUUUAUCGUGGAAUCACCAUCUCUCUAAACUGCAUGAGAUACUCUCACCGGGAAUGGCAGAAUGGACAACGAACAGCCACACCAGGAGCUGGUGAAAUGUGUCCUCGUUGGAGACACGGCGGUCGGGAAGACGCGCCUGAUUUGUGCCAGAGCGUGCAACAAACACGUUUCACUUUCGCAAUUGCUAUCGACGCAUGUGCCAACAGUGUGGGCCAUUGACCAGUACAGAAUCUACAAGGAUGUACUGGAAAGAUCGUGGGAGGUUGUUGAUGGUGUGAAUGUCUCAUUGAGACUCUGGGAUACAUUUGGGGAUCAUGAGAAAGAUCGUCGAUUUGCAUAUGGACGAUCCGAUGUUGUUCUCCUAUGCUUCUCAAUUGCAAAUCCCGUCUCAUUGCGCAAUUGUCGCGCAAUGUGGUACCCAGAAAUCCGUAGAUUCUGCCCUCAGACACCAGUUAUCCUUGUUGGAUGCAAAAAUGAUCUACGCUACAUGUACAGAGAUGAAACGUACUUGUCGUACUUUGGAGAUCGAAGUCCUUUCGUUAGGGCGGCUAGGAAGUCCGAUCUCGUGAUGCCUGACGAGGCGAGGGCUGUUGCAAAGGAUCUGGGAGUGGCGUACUAUGAGUCGAGUGUCUUCACCUACUUCGGGGUGAAUGAGGUGUUUGAGAAUGCCAUUCGAGCGGCAUUGAUUGCACGUAGGCAGCAAAGAUUUUGGAUUACGAAUCUCAAGCGUGUGCAGCGUCCGCUCCUUCAGGCACCAUUUAGACCUCCGAAGCCACCACCUCCGGAGGUUACUGUCAUCACGGGAACACACUCAAAGGAUAUGCUAACGAUGCUCAAUGGGCAGAGAUAUACGGACUUGGUGCUUGUUGUGGGUGCUGUGAGAUUUCCAGUGCAUCGAUUCGUUCUUGCGGCUGGUUCGUGUGCUUUCAAUCGGUUGCUAACGAUGGAAUUGACAGAUCUGGGGGCAAGGAGUAGCAGUGAAUCCAGCAUGGUCAGUUCAACGUAUGGUGAUAAUUCAACUGCCGACUUCAACGAAGACACGGAGUGCCUUCUGCGAUGUGAUCCACAGUCCAGAGCUGCAGCUCAACCACUCAGAAUGUGGGAACAGUUGAAGCGCCGCUCGAGCUAUCAAGCACUUCCGACACACGAACCAAAGAAGCCACCAAGCGAUCUCUUCCGUGAGCUCCAUCAUCCCGUGUUCCAGAGCAUCCGUGUUGUUCAGAUGGCAGAAAUAUCUGCCCCUGCCAUGGCCAGUUUCACCACACUCUGCACGCGUUCUCAAACACAAACAAUUGUGACCCUGAGUAAACUCAUAACACCCCAGGCUAUGCAGCAGUGUCUUAAAUUCAUCUACUCCGGGAGCAUCGAUCGUGAAUGCCUGGAUAUUCAGGAAAUAAGACAGGCGGCAGAAUUCCUCGAACUUCCUCAAUUAUCGGUGCUUUUGUCCAACAUUCAGACGAAUCAGAAUUUCAUGAAUGACGAAACUAUUCAGCACUAUUCCAAGUGUGUCCGGAAAAAUCUGGAAAAGAUGUGUGUGAAUAGCGGUUUGUUUGGUGAUUUGACUUUUGAACUGGAUGAUGGUCACGUGAAAGCUCACCGGGCAAUUCUUGUUGCGCGCUGCGAUGUUAUGAGAGCAAUGCUCAACGGUGACUUCCGGGAGGCUCAUGCCAAUGUGAUUGUCUUUCCGGGUGUGACAGAGUACACAUUCCAUAAAUUGCUGUGUUAUCUCUAUACAGACGAAAUACCUCCAAUAUCUGCGGAUAAAUGUCUGAAUUUAUUAGAAUUAGCCAAUAGAUUAUGUUUACCUAGGCUAUUGAAUCUUGUAGAGUGUCGCGUAAUAGAGGAUCUAACGAGAAUGUCACAAAGUGAGAGCAGCGAUGCCGUAGAGCACUGUUUGAAGCUCCUAGAGCCCGUUAAGUUACACAAUGCCCAUCAAUUGGCUGAAUGGUGCAUGUCGUAUUUGUGCGUGAAUUACAACAUCAUUUGCCGUGUGUCGCCGAAGAGUCUGAAGGCACUGCAUCCCGACAAUCAGGACUACUUGAGGGAACACCGUUGGCCACCUGUGUGGUAUCUCAAAGACUACGAUUACUACCAGCGAUGUAUGAAUGAAAUUUCUCGAGAGAUGAAGGAUAACAAGAAAUCUCCAUCUGACGAUGAGGGUUGUCUCUGUUUCUCAGGAGUUCCUGGUGGCUUUUAUCGUUUGGCGAAGUUAGUGAGUUCACAAAGGGAUUAAUGUGUGGAAAAUGGGAAAAGUGUUCUCUUGGCUGACAGGAAAAUCGCGACGAACUGCGGAUUCAUCGGUGAUUGGUGGGCAGCAACAGCGAAUGCCUCUGACGUCCCAACCAGGAGCGGCGGGUGCUGAUGUGGCCGCGGGCGGCCUCUUUCCCAGCAAUCCCAAUUCCGUGCACCAGAUCGAGGGUGAUGCUGAGGUGGAUUUAAAUCUCUGACAUCCGCCAAAUUGGAGAUCACUUCGCUUUGUUGUGAUCUUUCCUGUACUCCUCUGCUUCAUUGCCACGAUCCUGAGUAUCCUCAUUGUCUUUCAGCUGUACACACAAAGUGCAGAUUAGGCAGAUACAUAUAGGUCUUUUUUCUUUUAGUUUUUUAAUGUAUUCUGUAUACGUUCACUAAGCGUUUACUUAAAACAGUCAAAAGGUUCUUUUUUUUUUAAUUAAAAUGAUGUACAUACACACACCUACAUUAAAAGUUGGGGUCCAUAUAACGAUGCGACGAAGAGAUCGACAUCAAACAUUGGGAGUAAGAAAAUUUAGCAAAUACGUUAGAUUUAUUUUUUAUACAAAAAUGAAAUAUAUUUUUUAUUUAAUAUUCAGGCCAUAGUUUAGUCGAAAAAUAAAGAAGUAUGUAUAGAAUUUACUGCAAAUUCUUUCAAAUAAGCAAAUUUUUUCUUCUUAUAAAAUCAAAUAAUUGGCGAUUUUUUAUACAUUAAAUAGAGAAUGUAAUGUAAAAUGAAUUCAUGAAGUAGUUCGUGGUGUGAGAACGGAAUCGCCUAAUUGUUGGAAAAACUAAGAAAAUGGAUUUUUCUUUCCUUUUCAAAAGCGAAUUAAAAAGAUUCGAUAACAUAUUUUGGCAUUUUAAAAAAAAAAUGAUUUUUUUUAGGCAUGCAGGGUUCUUUAAAUUAAUUUAAAAUUUAUCAAGGCUUUUAAAAAGGGCAUUGAUCUUAUUCCUUAUUUGUUGAGAUUUUAAAGACUGCGGGAAACGAUUAUUAAAAGUUAGAUUGACGUCAUUAAAUAAUAAAAUUUUCGUAAAACAAUCCUAAAAUUGUUCGUUUAAUUCAUUCUAAUGCUUCAGCAGAUUCCAGAUGUAAUAAAAAUUGAAAUUCAAUAAUAAUUUUGCAAUAUUUUCAAUUUUUUUUAUUUAUUGGUCUUUUACGAAUCCUCAAUUUCAGAAUAAUUUUUAGUAAAAAAAAAUUCUUCCUUUAAAUAAAUUCUAAAUCAACUCUGAACAGAAAUUUAUGCUAGAAGUUUUGUACUUUCUCGUUAUAUCCUGGGCAAAUUUUUUAACAAAAAAAAAUAAAUAAAUGCAAAAUAAAAAUAAAUCCGAUUCUACUUUUGCUAAUAAAAAAAUUUAAAAAGUUUUCUCAAAGUAAUGAAAACUCUAAUUAUGCAAAUUAAAACUUUUAGCACAAAAUUCUGCUAUUAUAAACCCUAUAAAAAAGUAUUUUUAUGAGUCAAUGUUUUUGAAAUUACAGCGGAAAAAAGGAGAAGGUUUUUGUAAGUCUUGCAAUGAAAGAAAAUGGUGCUUAAAAGAAAUAAUGAGAGAAAGAUUAAAAAGAAAAAAGUAAAAAUGAUGCAUUUCUUUAAAAAUUUAUGGCUAGAUAAUAAAAAAGAAAACUUAAUGAAAAGUGGAAAGUUUUCCUUUAAAUUUAGAAUGGGUAUUUUAGUGAAGGAGUUUUAAGAUAGAAAGUAAACUUGUGCAAGAUUAGGAGUUGAUAAACUUUAGUUCGAUGUAUAUUUUAAAGAAAUAAAUUUUGCUAGUAAUGAAUAUCGAUAAUUAUUAAAUUUUUGAUACAAAAAAAAGAAGUCGAAGGAACUUUUGAUGAUAGAAUUAUUGUCUUUUUAUUAAUGAUUAAAAAAAGGACAAAAAAAGAUAAAGAAAACCUUUAACAAUUUGAUUAAUAUCUCUACGUAAUAAAAUAUACUCUGUAACUGUAUGAUUAAGGAGAACUAUGUAAACACACAACACAACACAAGAAGAAACAUCCAACAAUUGCAAACUGCCUGAUGAAAUCAAUAUUACGUAGAUUAACCAUUAUAAAAAGAAAAAUUUAAAAUAAAUCAUGCUUAAAGAUGGCGAUAAAUUAUAGAAAAAAAAGUGUCUCCAAAUUUGCAUUUUUUCCAUUAACAAGUCAAUUUCCAUAAUUAUUGGAUUUCAAAAUAUAUUUCUUUUAUUAUGACAAAUAUGAUAAAAAAAUAUGCGGAAAAGUAGGAUUGAAUGUGACCUACCCAAGGCAAACUUUCACCAAAUUAAAAAUAUUAGAAAUUUCUAAUUAAAAAUCCAACAAUUUCUGUGCAAUUUAUUUAUUCCGUAAUCAAAAAUAAAAUCAUUCUACUAAAAACUUGUUAAAAUACAACAAGUUAUGCAUUUUUUAUCUUUGAAAUUUGAAUUAAAACAAAAAUUAAAAAAAAAUGAUUUGUGAUAAAAAAAAGAAAUGAGUGAAAUUCGUGUGAUUUUUUGUCAAAGGAAAAACGAAGAAAAAAUAAUCAAAAUUUCACACAAAGCAGUGAAGGAUUUUUGCAAAAAAAAUGAGGAUGAAAAGAAAUAUUAAAUAGCAUUUUUCUCAAUUUUUUCAGACACAUUAGAAAUAUCUAUAAAUAUAAUAAAGUAACAAUCCGGGAAGAAAGAAAAUUAAUCAAGAGCUAAAAAAGUGGUGAAAACAAGAAAGAUAAAUUGACUGUGCAAUAUUUUUUAGUUAAAAGAAAAUGGUAUAUAAAUGAGAAAUAGCUCAGCUUUUUAGACAUGUCAAAUUAACUAAUUAUUAUAUUAAUAUUAACUUUAGUCAUUAACACAUUUUUUCAACAUAAAAAGGAAGAAAAAUGAAAAUUUCUUAUAUACAAACUGAACAAAAA
Molecule: RNA transcript, 5587 nt
Organism: Lutzomyia longipalpis
Lineage: Eukaryota; Metazoa; Arthropoda; Insecta; Diptera; Psychodidae
Gene: RhoBTB
Gene name: rho-related BTB domain-containing protein 2
Exons: 12
Source: RefSeq, a predicted model, not a curated record